UACGUAGGGUGCAAGCGUUAAUCGGAAUUACUGGGCGUAAAGCGUGCGCAGGCGGUUGUGCAAGACAGAUGUGAAAUCCCCGGGCUCAACCUGGGAAUUGCAUUUGUGACUGCACGGCUAGAGUGUGUCAGAGGGGGGUAGAAUUCCACGUGUAGCAGUGAAAUGCGUAGAGAUGUGGAGGAAUACCGAUGGCGAAGGCAAUCCCCUGGGCCUGCACUGACGCUCAUGCACGAAAGCGUGGGGAGCAAACAGG
This 253-nucleotide ribosomal RNA is filed under the name uncultured bacterium. RNAcentral describes it as "partial 16S ribosomal RNA". It matches the Rfam family "Bacterial small subunit ribosomal RNA", at positions 524 to 776 of the family's 1533-position model. The record is from RNAcentral.